RNAcentral lists this ribosomal RNA (441 nucleotides) under uncultured bacterium. RNAcentral's name for it is "partial 16S ribosomal RNA". It matches the Rfam family "Bacterial small subunit ribosomal RNA", at positions 338 to 795 of the family's 1533-position model. The record is from RNAcentral.
CCUACGGGAGGCAGCAGUCGGGAAUAUUGCGCAAUGGAGGAAACUCUGACGCAGUGACGCCGCGUGCAGGAAGAAGGCUCUCGGAUUGUAAACUGCCUUAGACAGGGAAGAAAAAAGACAGUACCUGUAGAAUAAGCUUCGGCUAACUACGUGCCAGCAGCCGCGGUAAUACGGCGGGAGCAAGCGUUAUUCGGAUUGAUUGGGUGUAAAGGGUGCGUAGGUGGAGAAGCAAGUUAGUUGUGAAAUCCCUCGGCUUAACUGAGGAACUGCAACUAAAACUACUUCCCUUGAGUACUGGAGAGGAAGGUGGAAUUCCUGGUGUAGCGGUGAAAUGCGUAGAUAUUAGGAAGAACACCGGUGGCGAAGGCGACUUUCUGGACAGUAACUGACGUUGAGGCACGAAAGUGUGGGGAGCAAACAGGAUUAGAUACCCGAGUAGUC